RNAcentral lists this ribosomal RNA (345 nucleotides) under uncultured bacterium. Its description in RNAcentral is "partial 16S ribosomal RNA". It matches the Rfam family "Bacterial small subunit ribosomal RNA", at positions 338 to 700 of the family's 1533-position model. The record is from RNAcentral.
CCUACGGGUGGCAGCAGGGAGGGAUAUUGGUCAAUGGGGGAAACCCUGAACCAGCAACGCCGCGGGAGGGAAGAAGGGGUUCGGAGGGUAAACCUCUGUCCGCGGGGAAGAGAAUGACGGUAGCAGAGGAGGAAGCUCCGGCUAACUACGUGCCAGCAGCCGCGGUAAUACGUAGGGCGCAAGCGUUGUCCGGAUUUACUGGGUGUAAAGGGUGCGUAGGGGGCCUUGCAAGUCAGAAGGGAAAUCCCUGGGCUUAACCCGUGAACUGCUUGUGAAACUGGAGGGCUUGAGGGCAGUAGGGGCAGGCGGAAUUCCCGGUGUAGCGGUGCACUGCGUCGCUCUCGG